AUGUUACUAGAUUUUAACCCGCGGUAUACCGGGGGACGAUUUCUUUUUUUUAAAAGCAAUAUAUAUUAAAAUUUGCAAAUUUUAUUUUUAUAAAAUAUUUAUAUUUUACAGUUUAUAAUUGUUAUUAAGUAACGCUAUACCACGAAUCCAUGAGACAAUUGUUAAAAAACUGAAGUUGUAAUCCCUAUUAACACAACAUAUUAAUAAUAUUUUA
RNAcentral lists this small RNA (214 nucleotides) under Arabidopsis thaliana (thale cress). RNAcentral's name for it is "ATSL069290". The record is from RNAcentral. Lineage: Eukaryota; Viridiplantae; Streptophyta; Magnoliopsida; Brassicales; Brassicaceae.